RNAcentral lists this ribosomal RNA (492 nucleotides) under uncultured bacterium. RNAcentral's name for it is "partial 16S ribosomal RNA". It matches the Rfam family "Bacterial small subunit ribosomal RNA", at positions 29 to 507 of the family's 1533-position model. The record is from RNAcentral.
AGUGAACGCUGGCGGUAGGCCUAACACAUGCAAGUCGAACGGCAGCACAGUAAGAGCUUGCUCUUACGGGUGGCGAGUGGCGGACGGGUGAGGAAUACAUCGGAAUCUACUUUUUCGUGGGGGAUAACGUAGGGAAACUUACGCUAAUACCGCAUACGACCUACGGGUGAAAGCAGGGGAUCUUCGGACCUUGCGCGAUUGAAUGAGCCGAUGUCGGAUUAGCUAGUUGGCGGGGUAAAGGCCCACCAAGGCGACGAUCCGUAGCUGGUCUGAGAGGAGGAUCAGCCACACUGGAACUGAGACACGGUCCAGACUCCGACGGGAGGCAGCGGUGGGGAAUGGUGGACAAUGGGCGGAAUCCUGAUCCAGCCAUACCGGGUGGGUGAAGAAGGCCUUCGGGUUGUAAAGCCCUUUUGUUGGGAAAGAAAAGCAGCAGGUUAAUACCCCGCUGUUCUGACGGUACCCAAAGAAGAAGCACCGGCUAACUUCGUG